CUGCAUUCUAAAAGAAACCAUUACAAAAAAUAAGGAAAAAUUAAUUUUACAAACUAUGUCAUAUGUUUUCUUUGUUUCCUCAAUAUAACUCUGAUUAGAAUGUCAAACAAAGAUAAAAUCAUCCGUAUUAAUCGUCAGUAUCGUGUAUAUUAUUAAUAUGAGCGUCUUUGCGUUACAUUCGUGCUACACCAUGCACUUAUAUCGACGUCGCAAUGCAAAAGAAGAAGGGCAAGAAAGAAACCUGUCCUGGUCUGGCGAUUUAAGGGAACAUCUGUUUAAGCCUGUCUAGAUCUUUUAUCAGUCUAGAAAGAUGUUGGAGAAAAGACAUCAUCCUCUUCUAUACUCUCCAUCUGUAAUUGGGCUAACUGGACCAGUGAAUGCAGGCAACUUACUCUCCAUUCGACCUUGCAGGUCACACCAUGGUCUCAAGAGGGAAAAUGAGUGCUCUAUGGAUUGAACAGAAAAGGAGAAUCAAAACUCCAACCAUCUGUAUGAGGGUCUGGAUGGAUAAAGGAUGCCCACUGGAGCUGGAAAUGAUGGAUCAGGUGGAUCCACACUUGAACCAUCUGUAUGAUGAUCUGCACCCACUGGAUCUGUAAAUGGUGGUGCAGGUUUCUGAAUUGAUGUCAGAUGCAAAGCAGAAGUUUAUUUUCUUCCAGUUUGGCUUCAUUGUGGAAAAAUGCUGGAAACUAAAAUGCAGAAUUCUGGCCUGGUGUUUGGUCCACCCUUUCUCUGGCUUGUGUCUCCGUCUCCAUCAUCAUUAUACUCUUGUCAGUGUUAUAGUAUUGUCGUCUGCGUACCAGGACUUUGUUUCUCAGCUGUCCCUUCUCCUUCAAGCUACAUUUUUGUCAAGCUGCAACAAGUUGGAAUACAUAAUUAUUAACGUUUAAGGAUUUUGAUGUAUGAAAUAUGUAACAAAAGCAAAAAAUGUACAGACAUUCUAUUAAGAAAUUACCUUUUUGUUGUUUGUUUACUGACCUUUCAACCAUAUUGCAUUUAAAAUUGAUCAUCAUACCUUUGGUCUACUGUUAACAGACUACUGUAGAAAACUUUGAAUAAAGUAAAAAAAAAGAGAAAAAAUUAUAAAUGCUGAAUGUGUCUCAUCUUAAAUACAUUGUUGUUGUUUUUUUCAUUGAAUUUGGAUGUUUUGAUGAUUUAAGGAAAAUUUACGUAGCAUAUAUAUUGAUGUUUUAAUUCAGAGUUUGUUAAUGACACUUAAUCAUUAACAAACAUUUAAAAAGGUUUAUUACAAUACUAAUUGAUAAUAUUAAAUUAAUGUAAUAAUCUUGUUUUGUUACACCCUAAAUCACUGAGCGCACAAACGCUACCCCAGUUACAAGCAUGGGUGGUUGACUUCAUGCAGACAUGCGCAGACAUCGAAGUACCGCGAGAGUGAUUCAAAAGCCCACGAAACAGUGUAAUCACGCGGUACUGUGACGUCAUACUGGUUAACGCUAAACCACGUGAAGCCGGACACAAGGGCUGCACUAAUCUUUGGGCUGGAGUAGCCUGUGGCUUACGUGUCUCGUCGCAGAACGAUUUAUUUCUCUUUUUCACCUCGAUCUUUGGCCUCUUGUGAUUUAACAAAACCAACAUGUGAAGUUACAACGCUGACGAAGGAGUUUAAUCAGUAACGUUAGAGUGUGUCCUGGUAAACGUGUGCUUGGAAACAUGCAGAUUACAGUAUUUACAGAGCCGACCUUGAGGCUAUUUUUUUUGCAUGACAUCCACUGAUGGAUAAUCUGUUUACCUAAAAACAGCACUUCAGGAGAAACCUGCCUGUGAUCUGCUAAGAUGCACAGAUUCAACUCUGGCCCAUUGUCAUCCCAACACCUUAUCUGCCAUCAGUUUCGUUUAGUGUCGAUCUAUUGCAAAAGUUCUUAUAAACUUUAAAUGAGACUUUGUGUUAAGCAGGGGUUUCCAAACUUUUAAUUUCACAACAUAUUAAGCCCAGGAUACACAGCAGGAUUUUUGCAAUCCAAUAGACCUUAUCACACUGUGUGACAAGAAUUGUUUAAACUUUAGCAGUAGACUGUCGAUGAAGACACCUAUUGCAUCUGAGGCUGCGACAUUCGUCAUCAGCAUGCGCUAGUGGUAAACAAAUACAGGUAUGCAGGUCGUAGAAGCAAACACGUUGUUGAUGUGCGUUGAUCAUGCUGAACUUCUUACACUGUCAUAAAACUAUCGUAGGUGUCUUUGGUCCCAGGACUGGGAAAAGAGGUCUUUAAACCUCUCACACUGUAUGAAAUAGGACCACCAAUUAAGAGCCACGAUCACAGAAAUCUCCACGAUUGUUUCACGAUUGGUAAUCUUUCAUCUGGGACAGCCAAAAACCGUGCCGUGUAUUAUGGGCUUUAGACAUGUGUAAUCUUAUAGUAUAUCAAAACCAUUGCUAAUAAUUAAUUGGACAAACCAUCACUACAAUGCAACACUCGCUAUCUUACGGUGCGACCCACAAGUGGGUCUUCACCCACAGCUUAAAAACCCUGAGUAUGAGUAAGAGUAUGUUGUAUUGUAAUUAAAGUCACAUCUAAGUGUUAUGGAGCAGUUUGUCAUUAUAUUCACAGUAUUACAUGGUUCUUUCAGCAGUUUCUACGUUACAGUGCUCUUAAAGUGUCCUGAUCAGCUUUGGGUCUUGUGAAGUAAUGUAAUGAGAAUGUGAUCAAUAGCUUUGCAGUAUUUUUGGUUAAACAUUUUAUUCAAAUUUGGUAAACAAUCUAGUCAAUAUAAUUCAUGCUGUGAUGCUGGAUUAAACCUGGUCAAAUAAAUGUGUAUUGUGUUUUCAA
Molecule: non-coding RNA, 2786 nt
Organism: Misgurnus anguillicaudatus (oriental weatherfish)
Lineage: Eukaryota; Metazoa; Chordata; Actinopteri; Cypriniformes; Cobitidae
Source: RefSeq, a predicted model, not a curated record